CAUUCCCACCCCUGCUCCCUGGAUGGCAGUCUCCAUGAAGGACAGCCCCCAUACCUCUAGUGCCCACCUUGAGCCCAGCACAGGGUUGGUGCUCAUGAAUGUUGGUUGGAUCUGCUCAGAGAACUGGCUCUAUGAUGGUACAGGGGCAAGUAAUGGGAUAUGUAACUCUGGGCUAAACAUGGACAACAUUCUUUGUUGGCAUUCAUAUUCCUGCAUUUAGAACUGGACCAUGUGGUGCUGGAGAGGCCAUUGCACUGACUGGCAAGAGAAGACCUGCUUCACCGUGGUCCACACAGUAAUUUCCCUGGCUUCACUCAAGGCUAACUGUCCUCCAGCAAAACACCCCUCUUUUCCUCUCACAGAUGAAGCAGAUGAGUAAAACUGAGGCUCCGUAAGGUACUCAUCCGAAAUCAGGCAGAAGGAACAGAAGGAACUAUUGACCUCAUCCUGUUCUCCAGGCUGCAAGUGAGAAAUGGGGUUCUUAGACUGGAAGAAGCCUCAGUGUGGGUAGAGGCAGCUGGGGCCUGAGGCAUGAGCCCCCAGAGGAAAACACAGGAAGCAGGUGGCCAAUCUUGUUCCAGAAGGGCUCUCACCAGGACUGCCCCAGAGUCCACACCAGAUUAUGAAAUAUGCCUUGUGAUUUUGCAUGAACAUCUUUGGCUGAAGAUUGACAAAUGUUGGAGGAAACUGCAACCUUUUUUUUUUUUUUUUUACCAUUAGUUAUUUUAUUGAGCAAUUACAAGUCCCAGGCUCUUACUUUUUCAUAUUAAUUUUUUACAACAAGUUUAUGAGAUGCACACUGUUCUCAUUUAUCAUAUAAGGAAACUAAAACUAAAAGAGUUUAAUAUAUUGCUCAAGGUUAUCCAGUGUAUUGGUUUGCUAGGGCCCUGUAACAAAGUACCUACAAACCGGGUGGCUCAAACAACAGAAAUGCAUUGGGAAACUGCAACCUCUUAUCAGUUAAUUUUCCGAGGCAAACAGUAACCUGGACUGAUUGUGAUUUCCAUGAGUUUCUCUUCUUGGUUUUUUUCCUUCUUGGUAUUGGUGGCUCAGAUGCAAGGCCCUGUGGUUCAAUAGGAAGAGCAGGAGCUUUAUAUUGGAAAACCUGCACUCUGGCUGGCUGUGUGCUGUCUGUGCCUCAGUUUCUUCAUCUGUAAAAUAGGAAUAAGAAUAUUACCCACCUUAGAUAAUUAGAGGGAGUAUUAGAACUCCUUGAAUACUACUAGGCACACAGUAAGUACUGAAGAAAUGUUAACUAAUUAUUAAUCUCACUAUUUAUUAGAAAAUGGAGAUUAAAGUACCUGUCUCACAGGUUUUUGUGAGAGUCAAAUCCAUUCAUUCAUUUGUUCAACAAAUACAUACUGAGCACCCCUAUGUGACAAGUAGUAUACGAGGCACAGGGCUGCUAUGUUAAAAACAAAAUGAGAUCAUUCUGUACUCCCCAGAACUAACAGACUGGUGGGGGAAGAGAUAUAUUAAGUGAUGCAUAAAAACACAGGCAUAAAUGUGCAAAUUUGUUGUAACAAUGCUUUGAAGGAAAAAGGUGGUGUGCUAUUGAGAGAAUAAGAGGGGAGGCUGCCUUAGGUGGUGAUGUGGUUUGGCUCUGUCUCCCCACCCAAAUCUCACCUUGAAUUGUAGUAAUCUCCAUGUAUGGUGGGAAGGACCUGGUGGGAGGUAAUUGAAUCAUGGUGGUGGGUCUUUCCCAUGCUGUUCUUGUGAGAGUGAAUAAAUCUCACAAGAUGUGAUGGUUUUAUAAAGGGGAGUUCCCCUGCACAUGCUCUUGGCUGCCACCAUGUAAUAUGUCCCUUUGCUCUUCCUUCGUCUUCCACCAUGAUUGUGAGGCCUCCCCAGCCACGUGGAAUUGUAAGUCCUUUAAAGCUCUUUCAUUUAUAAAUGACCCAGUCUCAGGUAUGUCUUCAUGAGCAGCAUGAGAAUGAACUAAUACAAGUAGGGUGGCCACAGAAGACUUCCCUGAAGAGGCAGGUGUUGAGCUCACCUAUGAAGGAUGGGUAGGAGUUAAAUAUUCCAGGUAAAGGCAAAACACACCUAAAGGUCUUACCUUAAGGGGAAAAAGGGUGAGGUGAAUUUGAGCCUAUGAAUGAGGUGACAGGGUUAGCAGAAAAUAGACAGGACAGAGGAUGAGUUCUAUUCUGAGUAUAAACCACAAAAGCAAUGGAGGAGGUAAAUGCUUUUAUAAAGUGUAAAAUCCACAUGUCUAUAACUUACUAUAUUUUCCAGCAUAAAAAGCUAGGAGUUGAAGUUUCACAUGGAGGCCAGGUGAGGAGUGAUUUCACCUCCAUGGCCUUUGCAGUUUGCACUCAGGAUAAAACAAUUGCCUAAAAACUACACAUGUUAUGGCAGAAAGUGUGUGUGUCAGUGUGUCUGUGUAAUCCGAAUUCCCAAAGUGCAUAACCCUUUCCUCGAAUCUCAUCAUCUGAAUGCAUCAGCUCUUUGAGCCCCAGUUUCCUCCUUUGUAAUCAUGGGGCCAUUUCUUCUUCUUUACUAAUGUGGCUGUUUUCUCAUAAGGUUGUUCUGAGAAAAACUCCAGUAAAUGUUGAUUCCCUAUGCCUCUUCUUUUCUCUGUGGCUUAAGCUUCACUGUCUGGUGCUUCUGAUGACAGUCUGCAUUUGAGAGAAGGCAUUAAACAUUCACAGCUGGCUUUUCAUCAAAAUGUGUCCUGCCCACCACACAAUCUUGGAGAACCCAUUGGCAUCUGACCACUCUAGAGAUUGCCCCUUUCUUAAAGGAGCCCCCUGGCCUCCCCUACCCAGUACUAAAAUCCAUCCAAUUCACACACCAUUGCUGUGGAAGUUAGUCCUUCUUUUAAUUCUGAUCAAGUGAGCAAAAGGGGAAAUAAGGAGGGAUCCAUCAGAACAGCUCAUGAAAAAUAUGUACGUUCUUUAAAGGAAGACAGCAUACAAAUGGGAUAUAUUUUUUUUUCCAAAAGGGAGGGGGAAAUACACGCAGGCUUUUAAACAGAAGACUUUAAGCGGGGAGUGAGAGAGGAAAAAUAUGUCUCUUAAAUGCAUUCAGCGCCAUUGCCACAAGGCUGCCGAGCCAGGAUUGUUUAUUAGAAGAUAAGAUAGUGAAAAAUGUAUUUUGCAGAAAGAAAAUAGUAAAGUCAGGUCUGAGGCAGAUAAGAAGCCAAAUUUCUAUUUUAUGCUCAAUUGAGUGACUCAGUUACAUUAUCUGGGAAGCAGGGGUGAAAUAACACCCUUCGGAAAUGAGGCCUGGGUUGCUCUGGGUCUCCUUCCAGCCUUGGCCAAGCUGAACUCUGCACAGCUGGGAUGCUGCCUUCUCAGAGCAGAGUAUUUGCCAUCUAGGGAUGAGGGGAAGAAAGGUUCUGAUCUUUUCUCUUCAGCUCCUUUUUUUCUCCAUCUUUUCAUAUGAGCACUCCAGUUCAGCUUCAUGCUUCCCCUUCUGCUGCUGAAGGUGAGAAAAUAAAAGCACACACAUGCAUACAAGAUGAAGCUCUGCAAAGACCAACCGAUGUUGAAGCCAGAAGCAUCAUUAGAGUUCAGCUGGUAUAGGGGUCUGUGGUCAGUCCUUUAUUUGGCAAGCACAAACAUGUCAUUUGAGUGUUUUUACACAGGGCAUUGUUCUCUAGUUUGCCAAAGAUCCUACUACACCUUUUAAAAAUUUUACCUGGUGCUUUACACAUUUUCAUUGUGUGUCUGGUCCCUGGAGAAAUGUAAGAUGAUUUCUCUAGACAUCUUCCAGAAUCCUCAGUGAAAAGAUGGAGAAGCUUCCCUCCAGAGAGGUCAAGAGGCUCAUUAAAAGUCACACAGCUGGUGAGUAUUAUCAUUACAAACAGGCUGUACUUCUAAUCAUCUCUUAUCCUUUCCUAAUGGUUCAGCGUUUGGGCCCUUUUCCAUUUUGGAGAUCCUUCAUUUAUUAUCCAGUUGGAGGUCAGAGCAAUUUGAAAAAUGGAUAUUGACUUUUUGGGCCAAUAGUCAGUUCAAAAACUCACUUAGUUGUGCAUUGGUAAGCCUGUGGUAGACAGAAUAAUGGCCCCUGAAGAUGUCCAUAGCUGAAUCCCAGAAACCUGUAAGUAAUUUUGCAAAUGUGAUUAAAUUAAGGAUCUUCAACUGGAAUGAUUAUCCUGAAUUAUCUGGUGAUAUGGUUUGGCUGUGUCUCCACCAAAUCUCAUCUUGAAUUGUAGCUCCCAUAAUCCCCACGUGUUGUGGGAGGGAC
RNAcentral lists this long non-coding RNA (4194 nucleotides) under Homo sapiens (human). Its description in RNAcentral is "HSALNT0154790". Lineage: Eukaryota; Metazoa; Chordata; Mammalia; Primates; Hominidae. The record is from RNAcentral.